Molecule: long non-coding RNA, 3134 nt
Filed under: Homo sapiens (human)
Lineage: Eukaryota; Metazoa; Chordata; Mammalia; Primates; Hominidae
Description: HSALNT0012604
Source: RNAcentral
GAUAGUUAUUGGAGACCUUGACAACAGCAGCUUUAGAAUGCUCUUGCAGAAAAGAUAAAACUCUAAUUUGACUGAAUUUCAGAAUAAAGUUAAGUAAGAGACCAGCAGCAUUGGACAAAUUAUGAAGAAUAAUGUUGUGAAGUAUUCAAGGCGCAUUUCAGUAUCAUGAAAUACAACAUCAGAAGAAAUACAGGUGUUUGAUGACUUUCAUGAGCAGCAAAGCUUUAAUAAGGAGCAGAAAAAUAAAAAAGGAGGCUAAAUUUAAGUCAAAAAAGGUAGAUGCAAUAUAUUUAUUAGGAUUUAUUUAACCAAACAUUGAUGAUUACUACGUGUCAGGUACUAUUCCAAGUAUUUAUAAAUAUAACUAAUUUAAUCUCUUCUUCUUCCAGUCUUUAAAAUUAACUAAAAUCAUUUUUUUAAAAAAGAGGCCACAAUUUUUUCUUUUCUGUUUAUACUACUUCCUAAGUACUUAGCUAGACCUUCUAGAUGUCUGGAUAUCUGGCCACUCUUUUGGUUCUUCAUAUAUGCCAUGCUCUCUUGUGCCUUAGAACCUUUAAGUUUGCUGUUUCCCCUGCUGGGAAAGUUAUUUUAAUCUGUCCCUUUUCUUAUUUAAUUCCUGCUUUUUCUUCAGAUCUCAGUUCAACCAUCAUCUUUGAGGCAAAAAUUUCAACUUCUUUAUCUAAAGACAAGUAGAGGGCUACAAUAGCAUAUUACAGAAAUUUUAAGAGCUGUGCUUAAUCCACUUUGCUCACCUUGAAUCUCUAGUCCUCAGAUAGUGGUUCUUAUUUUCCAUGAAAUGAGGAAACAUUGAAGGGUAAUGGGGAAUGGCUUAGGUUAUGUUUUAAAAGGAUCACUCUGACUGUUUUACUGAGAUGAAAGUAGGGGCACAAAAGUGGAAUAAGAAAGAUAACUUAUGAGGCUACCAAUAAUCCAAUUCAGGGCUGAUGAUAGCACUGACAAUAAAAAGUGGUCAUAUUUGGAGUAUUUUGAAAGCAGAACCAACAAAAUUUGUAUUGGGUGUGAGGUGUGAGAGCAAGGAGUAAAGCAUGACUUCAAGAUUUUGCCUGAGCAACUGGUAGGAUGCGGUUGUCAUCAGCUGAAAUGAGAAAACCUGUGGGUGCAGCUAGUUUGAGGGAAGAGCAAGAUUUCUGUCUUGAACAUAGGUUUGAGAUGUCUAUUUAGACAUCCAAUAGAGAUAUUAAAUAGGCAGCUGGAAUUCAAGAAAGCCUGGAAAUAAAAGAUAAAAACUGCAAGUUGGCAGUACAUUGAUAGUACUUAAAGCCAUGAAACUGGAUGAGAUCACCAAGAGAGUGAGUAUAAGCAAAGAGGCAAACCGUGGACUGAGUCCUCAGGUGUUUUAAUGUAAAGAGAUUAGGGAGAAGGAAGGGAUCAGCAAGGAGACUGAGAAUGACUAGUCAAUGAGGCAGAAGUGUGGUCUUUCAGAAGUGAAAUGAAAGUAUAUCAAGGAGAAAAGGAGUCAGGACAAAUAGCUGGUCUCUAAAUCAAUGUCAUUAAAAAUUUUAAAAACAAAACCACUCACUUAAAAGCUCUACAGGGUAUAACAGCUAGAUAAGACACAUAGACCUAGAUUUAAUACUGCUUUAGAAAAACCAGUGGUAAAAAACGUUUUGAGGCCAAAUUGGUAAAUUUAGCUUUAGUAUUAGAGAUGAAAACACUGAAAGGGAAAGCUCAAGGUUGCUGUUUUUUUUUUUUUUUUUAAAGGUAUGUUCUCACUCUGUCAACCAGACUGGAAUGCAGUGGCAUGUUCACAGUUCACUACGACCUUGACCCACUAGGCUCAAGUGAUCUUUCCACCUCAGCCUCCCAAGUAGCUGGGACUACAGGCACAUGCCACCACACCUGGCUAAAUUUUUGGCAAAGAUGGGGUCUAUUGCCAUUGCCCAGCCGAACUCCUGGCCUCAAGUGAUCCUCCUGCCUCAGACUUCCAAAGUGUAAGGAUUACAGGUAUGAGUAUGCCAGGCCAAUUCUUGACUUUAAAAGCAGGAUUCAGAAUAGUGUAAAUAAGGACCUCAUUUUGAUCAAAAAUAUAUGUAUGUAUGACGCACACAGAAUGAUCAGAAAGGAUAUAUAAGGUAUUAGUGGUAAACUUUGGAUGGGAAUAUGAAGUUCUAGUUUUUAAUAUUUUGCUUGCUAUAUUUUCAAUUUUUAAUAUUUCACUUGCCCUUCCCUCCCCCUCUUCCUUCUUCCGUUCGUGAUGGGGAAUGACUGCUAAUGGGUAUAAGGUUUGUUUGGGGGAUGUUUUGAACAUUUUGAAAAUGUUCUAAAAUUAUAGUGUUGAUGGUUGUACAACUCUGUAAACAUAUUAAAAACCAGAGAACUGUGUACUUUAAAAAGCUGGAUUUUACAGUACAUGAAUUAUAUUGCAAAACAGCUGUUAAUAGAAAGCAGCAAAAUCUAGCUGAUCUGUGUAUUUCACUUCUUUACAGUAUUUUCUGAUUUACUCUUUUGUUGCCAUUGCACAGAUUUUUUUUUUCUUUAACCUCUCUUACUUCCAGAGAUUUGAUCCUUUUUUUUUUUUUUUUUUUUUUUGAGACGGAGUCUGGCUCUGUCGCCCAGGCUGUAGUGCAGUAGUGGCACAAUCUUGGCUCACUGCAACUUCUGCCUCCCAGGUUCAAGCGAUUCUCCUGCCUCAGCCUCCUUAGUUAGGAUUACAGGUGCCCGCCACUGUGCCCGACUAAUUUUUGUAUUUUUAGUAGAGACAGGGUUUCGCCAUGUUGGCCAGGCUUGUCUCAAACUCCUGACCUCAGGUGAUCCGCCCGCCUCGGCCUCCCAAAGUGCUGGGAUUACAGAUGUGAGCCACUGCACCCGGCCUGAUCAUUUUUUAAUAACAUUGUUCUCCUCCUCCUCCUUUAAGAGACAGGGUCUCACUGUGCUGCCCAGGCUGGCCUCAAACUCCUGGGCUCAAGCAGUCCUCCCCACUCAGACUCCUGAGUAGCUGGGACUACAAACACACCACCACGCUCAGCUAACUCCCCAUCUCUUAAUCCCUAUCCCUACACCAUUCCCAAACUUUCCCAAAUCAAAGAUUAACCAGACAGAGAAAAUACACUUUUACAGUUUAAGAAAUAUUAAAUGUGAUAACUGUUCAGGAUCUACUUUUUACACAAUCUCAG